AAGUCGUAACAAGGUUUCCGUAGGUGAACCUGCGGAAGGAUCAUUAACGCGUAGGCCGCUGCCUGGCUACCUACCCAUGCCUCCCUCCGGGUCUCCCGGGGGUCGAAGCGGGGUACGCCGCCGGCCACAAAAUCGCCCAUUCUUGUCUACCUACCCGGUUGCCUCGGCGGUGCCGCGCGCCCCCCUCCCAGCUGAGGGGGAGCGCCGGCCAGGCGGGAGAUCCGUCUCCCUCCCGGUCCGCGCCCGCCGGAGGACCAUUUGAAAAACCCUUUUAAAUCAUCGUCUCCGUCUGAGCAUAACAAGCAAAUCAGUUAAAACUUUCAACAACGGAUCUCUUGGUUCCG
Molecule: unclassified non-coding RNA, 344 nt
Filed under: air metagenome
Description: partial contains small subunit ribosomal RNA, internal transcribed spacer 1, and 5.8S ribosomal RNA
Rfam family: Eukaryotic small subunit ribosomal RNA (bases 1-46)
Source: RNAcentral